GAUGAACGCUGGCGGCGUGCCUAAUACAUGCAAGUCGAGCGAACAGACGAGGAGCUUGCUCCUUCGACGUUAGCGGCGGACGGGUGAGUAACACGUAGGUAACCUACCUAUAAGACUGGGAUAACUUCGGGAAACCGGAGCUAACACCGGAUAAUAUUUCGAACCGCAUGGUUCGAUAGUGAAAGAUGGCUUUGCUAUCACUUAUAGAUGGACCUGCGCCGUAUUAGCUAGUUGGUAAGGUAACGGCUUACCAAGGCAACGAUACGUAGCCGACCUGAGAGGGUGAUCGGCCACACUGGAACUGAGACACGGUCCAGACUCCUACGGGAGGCAGCAGUAGGGAAUCUUCCGCAAUGGGCGAAAGCCUGACGGAGCAACGCCGCGUGAGUGAUGAAGGUCUUCGGAUCGUAAAACUCUGUUAUUAGGGAAGAACAAACGUGUAAGUAACUGUGCACGUCUUGACGGUACCUAAUCAGAAAGCCACGGCUAACUACGUG
RNAcentral lists this ribosomal RNA (497 nucleotides) under uncultured bacterium. RNAcentral's name for it is "partial 16S ribosomal RNA". It matches the Rfam family "Bacterial small subunit ribosomal RNA", at positions 28 to 507 of the family's 1533-position model. The record is from RNAcentral.